CGUAAAGCGCACGCAGGCGGUCUGUCAAGUCGGAUGUGAAAUCCCCGGGCUCAACCUGGGAACUGCAUUCGAAACUGACAGGCUAGAGUCUUGUAGAGGGGGGUAGAAUUCCAGGUGUAGCGGUGAAAUGCGUAGAGAUCUGGAGGAAUACCGGUGGCGAAGGCGGCCCCCUGGACAAAGACUGACGCUCAGGUGCGAAAGCGUGGGGAGCAAACAGGAUUAGAUACCCUGGUAGUCCACGCUGUAAACGAUGUCGACUUGGAGGUUGUGCCCUUGAGGCGUGGCUUCCGGAGCUAACGCGUUAAGUCGACCGCC
RNAcentral lists this ribosomal RNA (315 nucleotides) under uncultured bacterium. RNAcentral describes it as "bacterial SSU rRNA". It matches the Rfam family "Bacterial small subunit ribosomal RNA", at positions 559 to 873 of the family's 1533-position model. The record is from RNAcentral.